AGGUAAAAAUUUUAUUUAUUUAUUUAUUUAUAUCAUUUAAUUUAGCCUCAAUCUGCAUAUUCGUUCUUUUCUCUCUGUAGAAAAACCGACAAAGAUUGACUACUGAUUGGAACUUCACUCUGCAGAUGCCAAAAAACCCCUUAAAACACAGAUCUGUGAUUAUUAUUAUUCACCUCUGUAAAAAGAAAGUUUCUUGAUGUAACUUGUCUGAAAAAAGAAAGUCUUUUUACAGCAUUAAUACUGGUUAAUUAUAUAUUUAUAUUCCAUUAAUUCUUUCAGUAAAAUCCAUUCUCAGUACUCCCUCUUAAUUUGUUUUGAAUUAACAGUGAAAACGAAUAUUCGGGUUCGGUUUCGAGGGCAAGACAAGCAAGCCCUAGAUCAGACAAAAACAUAAGAAAAGGAACAGUUGUCAAGAAAUGCUGAUUAAUUAUGUUUUUUUUUUAUGUAUUGUUUUUUGUUCAUAGAAAUUUGGUUUUGUGUGAACACACUUUGAUUAUUUUAUGGAACAAUUGCUCCAACCAAGUGGUGUGUGUGUGUGUGUGUAUAUAUAUAUAUAUAUAUAUAUAUAUAUAUAUUCUUUGUGAUGUAUGAAAACUAGUUUCUAUGAGAAAUUCAAGUGGAUUCUUGGAACAAAUAAUUGUCGAA
Molecule: long non-coding RNA, 645 nt
Filed under: Erythranthe guttata (spotted monkey flower)
Lineage: Eukaryota; Viridiplantae; Streptophyta; Magnoliopsida; Lamiales; Phrymaceae
Description: long non-coding RNA (EGUT_LNC003714)
Source: RNAcentral